GUUCAGUCUUCCCAGGCCCACCACUUUCAUCGAGUGAGCAUUCGUCUUCUGGUUACGGGGCCAUAGCUCAGCUGGGAGAGCGCGUGCUUUGCAAGCAUGAGGUCGUCGGUUCGAUCCCGUCUGGCUCCACCAGAUGGUUUGAUCACCUGCGACUGACCGUCGUCCGCGAAACAUCACUUCGCAUUCACUAGUCUGGAUAGACAGUGAACUGCGUGUUUUCUGACAUCGUAAAGAGGAGAUCGAUCCGAGUUGGGUCGUGCAGCAGAUUGUUGCGCGGAUCCUUCAUUAUCUCCGGAUCAUUUUCGGCGCUCGCUUUCAGCCGUGAGGCUGAACGCGAGUUGUAAAAUGAUCCUUUUAGCGAAGCUUGACCGCCUCGCUAUCGGAACGAUCUUACGAAGCAAGCUGGUCUUUCUAGUCAAUGUCCGGCUGUGAGAAUAGCGCUCGUCGAGGGCGCGUGCCGCAAGGCGGUUCUUACAGGCAGCAUUCUGCCGAGUGUGUGGACAUUGAUAAUGAGAGCAAUCAAGUGCCUUAAGGGUGUUCGGUGGAUGCCUUGGCGCUGAGAGGCGAUGAAGGACGUGCUACGCUGCGAUAAGCCGUGGGGAGCUGCGAAGAAGCUUUGAUCCGCGGAUUUCCGAAUGG
This 639-nucleotide unclassified non-coding RNA is filed under the name Bradyrhizobium sp. RNAcentral describes it as "partial 16S-23S ribosomal RNA intergenic spacer". The stretch from base 518 to 639 matches the Rfam family "Bacterial large subunit ribosomal RNA", at positions 1 to 121 of the family's 2925-position model. Lineage: Bacteria; Pseudomonadati; Pseudomonadota; Alphaproteobacteria; Hyphomicrobiales; Nitrobacteraceae. The record is from RNAcentral.